RNAcentral lists this transfer RNA (74 nucleotides) under Streptococcus pneumoniae. RNAcentral's name for it is "tRNA-Glu". Lineage: Bacteria; Bacillati; Bacillota; Bacilli; Lactobacillales; Streptococcaceae. The record is from RNAcentral.
GGUCCGUUGGUCAAGGGGUUAAGACACCGCCUUUUCAACGGCGGUAACCACCGGGUCGAAUCCCGUACGGACUA